RNAcentral lists this ribosomal RNA (254 nucleotides) under uncultured bacterium. Its description in RNAcentral is "partial 16S ribosomal RNA". It matches the Rfam family "Bacterial small subunit ribosomal RNA", at positions 524 to 776 of the family's 1533-position model. The record is from RNAcentral.
UACGGAGGGCGCAAGCGUUGCUCGGAAUCACUGGGCGUAAAGGGUGCGUAGGUGGUCGCGCAAGUCGGGUGUGAAAGCCCUCGGCUCAACCGAGGAAUUGCAUUCGAUACUGCGUGACUUGAGUGCGGUAGAGGGAAACGGAAUUCCUGGUGUAGCGGUGAAAUGCGUUGAUAUCAGGAGGAACACCAGCGGCGAAGGCGGUUUCCUGGGCCGUAACUGACACUGAGGCACGAAAGCGUCGGGUAGCAAACCGG